AGAAUAUGAACUCUAUGAGGAAAGGAAUUUUGACUGUUUUGUUCGCUGAUGUACCCUUAGGACCUAGUACGUUAUAGAUGUUCAACAGGUAUUUGUCGAAUUGAAUGACUAACUGAAUCCAUUUCUAUUUUGUGACAGUGGCAGAAAAGAGUGCUUUGAGUCAUAAUAACAUGGGCUACCAACUUCUGUUGAAAUGUGUUUGUAUCUUUGAGGGGGCAUCAAUAAAUCACCCCCUGUUUGGUCUAGGUCUAAAGCAACUGAUACAUAAAACCAAGUUUCAGCAGGAAGAGGACAAAAUAUCACCUUUCUGGAAGAACCAGUGGAAGAACAAGCUUAUGUCUAUAGGCAAGUCAGUUAUCUAAUGCUGAAACCCCAAAUAGGCACAUGUAUCUACAAAGCAAUACUGGGUCACAGCAAAUUUCUCCCAGCAGGAGCAGCAUGAGUUCCCAGAGAAGCAGAGAAGAAUUGCCACCUCCCAGAAUAAGGAAAGAGGAAGGAGCUGGGUUACUCAUCCAGUUUCUCCUUCCAAAUUCACAAAUAACAUGUUUUUCUUCUUGGAAGUGGGUGGGAGCAGUUGAGGUGGGUAUAGAGGAAUUUGUGGUGAGAGGAUGGAGAGAGACUGGCAGUGUUAUUCUAUAAUAGAUUCUUCUUCACAUAGAAUAACACACAGGAAUGGGGAAGAAGCAUUUUCCCCUAGUGAUAUCUAUAUUAUCCCUCUCUUGAAUUUUUUUUUCUUUUGGUUAAAAGUCAUAGAUCUCAGAUAUUUGGAAUUUUUACUUUUGCUUUCAGCAAACCCACAGAGGUAAAAAAAAAAAAAUCAGUCAGUAUACUUGGGCUAUAAAUGAUUGUUCAAAAAUAUAAAACUGGGAACUAGCCCAUUAACUGUCAGAGAAAAGUCAGGAGAAGUCUGUGUUUUACAAUACAGAGCCUUCAAUGGCCCCCACGUUCCCAGUGAUAUUGCAAAUAUUUUCAAAUCACAGACCACUGCCUUUGAAGGUAAUGACAAGCACAUUAUAAAGAAAACAUAGAUACAUUUGGGUGUUUCUUAUGUAUUAAACACAGGGAAUAUCAUAGUGCACAAAAUAAAUACAGUUCUUGCCCUUAAAGAAUCGAGUGGGGAAGGAGUAUAAAUAGAUAUAGAGCGAAAUAAAAUAUCAGUUCUACCAGACAGAUGUGCAUACUGACCCUAAAGGUGGGAAAUAAUCAAUAUUUACACAAUGGUCUUUAUGUUACAGGCACAGUAGCAAAUGCAGGGGGUGUAAAAAUAAGACUCAGUUCUUCCCUUAACAAAAAUAGGGAAUUUGAAAUGAGAGUGAUAGACAUACACAGAAAGUUAAAUUAUAAAAUGUACUAUAGCUUGGUCUUACACGGACCUACAAUGACCCAGGGAUAGAAAACUUAAUUCAGGUUUAGGUUUCAAGAAGACUUAGAGAGGUGAGUUUAAGCAAUAGCACAGACAUAGCAGAGGAAAGAAAGAAAGUGAGUUGGAAGAUAGAUUUGAGAUGCUCAUGUACAGUAUAUUGGAGUGAGUGCUAAAGAGAUGAAAACAUGGAGUAAGAAAGCCAAGAGGCAGGCUAAUAUGAUCAACUUCUACAUAUGUUUAGUUAUAGUAAAAGGAGGCAAGAACAGAAAGAAUGGGGGAAACAUAAAAGCCGAGACUUUUCCAGGAUUGAAUGGAACCCUCACAUUGUACAAGGUCAUACUUUGUUCUCAUCCGUAAAACUAAAAACAAAUCACACGCAUACAUAAGCAUGAAACUGCAGAGCAAUAAGGAAAACCUGAAAAUUGAAAAACCACCAAAAAGAGAAGACAAUAGGUUAUUUACUGAGGAAUAAUAACUGGGUAACAAUGAUAUAUGUUAGAAAACAUUAGCAUCUUCUCUUCCAAGGAGUGUGGAAAAUACCUGUCAGGCUAGAAUUCUGUUCUCAGAGAAGUAACAUUCACAGGUGAGAAUGAAAAAAAAGCCCACUUUAAGAAAUACAAAGACCAAGUGUUUAUCAACCACAGAAUUGUGAAGAAAGUACUCUAAACGAUGAAAUUCAACACAGAAGAAAAGAGUGGGUGCAAAAUCAGUGGCAACCCAAGGAGCAAGGACAGUGUACCCGAAGUGCAUGUGUGAAGGUCUGGGGGAAGAGAGAGAUGGAGAGGGAUGGGGGUAGAGGUAAGAGGAAGCCUGUGAUGGGCCGCUCUUAUCUUUGCUAAGGAUUUAGGCUUCAUCUUAAGGUGUAUGGAAUGAUGGAACGAUCUUAGUGAGGUGGUGGCAGGGUUGGAUGUGCUUUCAUAAGAGCACCGGCAGGGGGGGGUUCAGAAUGUUGGAGGGCAACAAGGUUGAGGCUAUGAGGCCAGUUAGAGGUUGUGGGUAUAAUUUAGAUGAGGAGAGAUCAGGGCCUGAAGGAAGGUGAGAAAAGGAGGAGAGCGGUCAGAUUCUGGAACUAUUAAAGAGAUAGGGCCUCAGGAGUCAGGAAUAAAUUUUGUUUAGGCAGAAAGAAAGGAAGCAUUGAGGACGCAGCCGUUUUCUUAGGACAGUUGCAAUGGAAGGAGCAAUGGGAGGCGACAGUGGACGCAUGAUAACCCUGUGAGACCUCAUCUCUGGAUGGGUGGUGAGACCUAGAAGGGUCGCCAGAGGAAGACCAGAGGUUAGGAUGGGGGCCUUGUUGGCACGUUUUCAUUCUAAUGAGUGGAGAACAAAGACGAGAGGCAAAAGUUGGAUGUAGAGAGGUAGGUGAUGCCUGAGAGCCUCCAGGAUGGAAUGCCUGAUGGGGAGAUGGGAGGUAGAGUCUUACAUACAAGGAAGGAGAGGGAAAGAAGCAGAUAGAAGAAACUCACAACUCUCUCCUCCUUUGAAAGUAGCAUCAGAGUAGUGAUGAGCAAAUGCUGGGUGAAUUAGUGAAUCAGUGCCUAGAAGGAUGGAUAAAUGUUGGAUGCAUUCGGGCAGGCCCCAAACAGAAAAACUCUCAACAAAGGUGAACGUGUUCUCAAGAUAGGUGCGACCUCUAGUGGCAGAAAAAAAACCCACCUCAGAAAUCUAAAGACAGAACAAAAUUGGAAGAAAAUGGCUAGGGGAAAUUUAUUUACAGAAUGAACAGAUAAAAGCAUUGCUCUACAAUGCCGUAGAUCCUGUCCUGCAUAAUCUUUGCUGUGUUCCGUUUCUUAUCAAUAGGGUUUAAUGGCAGAUGCCUUAUGAAUUCACUUUUAUAAUUAACUACUUAGAGUGAAUGGCUUAUGGAAAUGAAGUCAGUAAUCUUUUAAUUAUGAUUAAGACCUACAAAAAAUACCUGCAGGAGAGGACUAAUUACUUAUGUGUGAAAUUUCAUGUACAAGCUAGAUAAGAUAAUAGUAUUCAUUUUCAAAUAGAGAAAAAGGGAAAGAGGCAAUUAUAACCCAACGAGCCCCUGAUUGCCAAAGUCACAAAUAUGAUGAAAAGAGUGAAUUUAAAAACAGCAAUAGCAACAGCGGUUUUAAAAACAUUAAGCAAAAAUAUAAGACUAUAAAAAGAUGUAUAAAAAUUAUUUCAAUCCUUAAAAUUAUUAGUGAUACCAUAAUGUCAAAUUUCUUUGCAUAAGCUCAGAGAAGAAUUAUUUGUUGAUAUAAACAAAGGAUUUUUUUUAUGAGCCUGAGUGUUUUCUAAAGAAGAUCAAACUGAGUGUAUUCUCACGUUAAGCACAAUCAAUCAAAAUGUUUGGCACCUACUCCCAAGUUAAUUAUAUUACAAAAGAUCUGAAAUUUAUGCAUCAGGAAAGUACUUUGGAUGAAUUAGAAGGACUUCAGUUUUUCCAUUACAAUAGUUUUGAUCAACAACAUAGAAUGUAUGUGUAGGUGAAAGAAAAUAAACUUGUCUAAGAGUAGAACUAUUUGUGGGAAUUUUAAGCAGCUGGUGAGUGGUAGCCUGAGAGUAAGGGAGUAUUGAAUACAGGAGUGUAGCUGUGGAAACUUGUCCAGUCCACCUUUGCAGAAUUUGAAAACCCAAGUUAGCAGAAUUGAAAGCAGCUCGGUUCUUUGGGAUUUCUUGUUUGAUUCGGAAUCCUUUUUAAUGUCUAAUACCACCUUAUUUGAGUCUAACAUUAUUAAUAAGGUCAUAAUUGUCUCUAGACUUCGUUUAUUUCUUUAAUUUUUUCCGUUUAUAAUGAUUUUUAUUUUUUCCAUUAUAGCUGGUCGCAUUAUCGUGCUCCAUCAUAACUGAGUAGACAUAGUUCUCUGUGCUCUGCAGCAGGAUCUCAUUGCUGCUCCAUUCCAAAAGCAACAGUUUGCAUCUAUUAACCCCAAAUUCCCAGUCCAUCCCACUCCCUCCCCCUCCCCCCUUGACAACCACAAGUCUGUUCUCCAUGUCCAUGAUUUUCUUUUCUGUGGAAAGGUUCAUUUGUGCUGUAUAUUAGAUUCCAGAUAGGAGUGAUCAUGUGGUAUUUGUCUAGACUAUCUUAAAGCUACAUAGAGUGUUAACGUCCAUUAUUGACCAUGAGAUGCCUGGGAUUUAGUCAUCAGGCAUCACCGUGUAUUUAAAUAACAAAAAAUUUUGAACUUGACAGGACCAUAAACAGUUACCUGGAAACAAAUAAAAGCUGUUUCCAAGCAAUACUUAGGCAUCUUCAAUAAAAAAUAUCUCUUAAAAGUACAGUCAUACACCCAAAGAAGUGAUUAUCUUUAAUUUUUUUUAAAUGGGUGAUUUUGCUCUGUUUUUCUUCUAUUGUGUGUGAAUGAGAUUCUUUGCAUUGAGCAGGCAAGCAUGGGUUAAAUUUGUCAUUUUUUUCCUUUUUUUUAUCACAGCUUUACUGAGGUAUAAUUGAUAAAAAAUAGUAAGUAUUUAAGGUGUCAAACAGUGAUUUGAUAGAUACAUACAUUGUGAAAUGAUUACCAAAAUUGAGGUAAUUAACACAUCUGUCAUAUCAUAUAUUUACCUUUUGUGUACUGAGAACACUUAAGAACUAUCCUCUUAGCAAAUUUCAAGUAUAAAAUACAUUGUUGUUACCUAUAGUCCCCAUGCUAUAUGUCAGACCCCUCAGAACUUAUUCAUGUUAUUAAUGAAAAUUGUACCCUUUGACUACUCUCUCUCCAUUUCCCAACCUCCCCCAACCCUACAACCUGGCAACAAUUCUACUUUCUAUUCUUCUGAGUUAGAUUUUUUUUUUUAGAUUUCAUACAUAAGUGAGAUCAUACAUUAUCUUUCUGUGUCUGGCCUAUUUCACUUGGCACAAUGUUGUCCAGGUGCAUCUAUGAUAUUGCAAAUGGCAAGAUUUUCUUCUUUUUUAAAGCUCACAAUAUUCAUUAAUAUAUAUAUGAAUAUAUAUGAAUAUGAGAAAUGUGAGAUGUACCUAUCUCACAGUUUCUUUAUUCAUUCAUCCAUCCACUAACAGACUCUUGAGUUUUUUUCCAUACCUUGGCUAUUGUGAAUGUAGUAGUUCCCAUGUCUCUUUGAGAUACUGAUUUUAUAUAUCAUUUGGAUUUAUACCCAGAAGUGGGAUUUCUGUAUCAUACGGUAGUUUUAUUUUUAAUUUUUUUGAAGGAUCUCCAUCCUGUUUUUCAGUGGCUGCACCAAUUUAUAUUCCCACCAACAGGGUACAAGGGUUCCCUUUACCCCACGCCUGUGCCAACCCUUGUUAUCUCAUGUCUGAUUGAUAAUAGCCACUCUUAUAGGCGUGAGGUGCUAUCUCACUGUGGUUUUGACUUGCGUUCCCCUGAUCAUCAGUGAUGUUGAGCACUUUUCAUGUAUCUGUUGACCAUUUGUAAGUUUUCUUUGGAAAAAUUUCUGUUCAGGUCCUUUGCCUAUUUUUUAACCGGUGUGUGUGUGUGUGUGUGUGUUUUAUCUUUUUAGAGCCUCAUCUGUGUCAUAUGGUCGUUCCCAGGCUAGGGGUUACAUUGGAGCUGCAGCUGCCAGCCUACACCACAGCCACAGCAAUGCUGGAUCCUUAAUCCACUGAACAAGGCCAGGAAUCCUACCCGCGUUCUCAGGAUACUAGUUGGGUUCGUUACCACUGAGCCAUGAUGGGAACGUCUGUGUGUGUUUUGUUUUAUUUUAUUUGGUUUUGUUUUGCUGUUGAGUUGUAUGUCUUCCUUAUGUGCUUUGGAUAUUAACCCUUAAAAGAUAUGAUUUGUAAAUAUUUUCUCCCAUUCCAUAGAUUGCCUUCUGAUUUUGUUGAUUGUUUCCUUUGUGGCUCAGAAGCUUUUUAGUUUGAUAUAGCCCCUUUUGUUUAUUUUGUUGGCUUUUGUUACCUUACUUUUGGGACAUUCCAAAAAAAAAAAAA
This 6236-nucleotide long non-coding RNA is filed under the name Sus scrofa (pig). RNAcentral's name for it is "lncRNA (ENSSSCG00015057771.1)". Lineage: Eukaryota; Metazoa; Chordata; Mammalia; Artiodactyla; Suidae. The record is from RNAcentral.